ACCCUGGUAGUCCACGCUGUAAACGAUGUCGACUUGGAGGUUGUUCCCUUGAGGAGUGGCUUCCGGAGCUAACGCGUUAAGUCGACCGCCUGGGGAGUACGGCCGCAAGGUUAAAACUCAAAUGAAUUGACGGGGGCCCGCACAAGCGGUGGAGCAUGUGGUUUAAUUCGAUGCAACGCGAAGAACCUUACCUACUCUUGACAUCCAGAGAAUUUAGCAGAGAUGCUUUGGUGCCUUCGGGAACUCUGAGACAGGUGCUGCAUGGCUGUCGUCAGCUCGUGUUGUGAAAUGUUGGGUUAAGUCCCGCAACGAGCGCAACCCUUAUCCUUUGUUGCCAGCGGUUCGGCCGGGAACUCAAAGGAGACUGCCAGUGAUAAACUGGAGGAAGGUGGGGAUGACGUCAAGUCAUCAUGGCCCUUACGAGUAGGGCUACACACGUGCUACAAUGGCAUAUACAAAGAGAAGCGACCUCGCGAGAGCAAGCGGACCUCAUAAAGUAUGUCGUAGUCCGGAUCGGAGUCUGCAACUCGACUCCGUGAAGUCGGAAUCGCUAGUAAUCGUGGAUCAGAAUGCCACGGUGAAUACGUUCCCGGGCCUUGUACACACCGCCCGUCACACCAUGGGAGUGGGUUGCAAAAGAAGUAGGUAGCUUAAC
RNAcentral lists this ribosomal RNA (655 nucleotides) under bacterium sp. R2A-66. Its description in RNAcentral is "bacterial SSU rRNA". It matches the Rfam family "Bacterial small subunit ribosomal RNA", at positions 784 to 1439 of the family's 1533-position model. The record is from RNAcentral.